AGUGAACGCUGGCGGUGGGCCUAACACAUGCAAGUCGAACGGAAGCACAGUAAGAGCUUGCCCUUAAGGGUGGCGAGUGGCGGACGGGUGAGGAAUACAUCGGAAACUACUUUUUCGUGGGGGAUAACGUAGGGAAACUUACGCUAAUACCGCAUACGACCUACGGGCGAAAGCAGGGGAUCUUCGGACCUUGCCCGUCUGAAUGAGCCGGUGCCGGAUUAGCUAGUUGGAGGGGUAAAGGCACACCAAGCCGACGAUCCGUAGCUGGUCUGAGAGGAUGAUCAGCCACACUGGAACUGAGACACGGUCCAGACUCCUACGGGAGGCAGCAGUGGGGAAUAUUGGACAAUGGGCGCAAGCCUGACCCAGCCAUGCCGCGUGAGUGAAGAAGGCCUUCGGGUUGUAAAGCUCUUUUGUUGGGAAAGAAAAACAGCAGAUGAAUCCCCCGCUGUUCUGACGGUACCCAAUGAAAAAGCACCGGCUAACUUCGUG
This 492-nucleotide ribosomal RNA is filed under the name uncultured bacterium. Its description in RNAcentral is "partial 16S ribosomal RNA". It matches the Rfam family "Bacterial small subunit ribosomal RNA", at positions 29 to 507 of the family's 1533-position model. The record is from RNAcentral.